CCCCUCCCCUAUCGUGAACCCGCCGCCGCCGCCGCCGCAGGAGGAGGAGACGCGCCAAGGAGAGCACGCGAGGAGGCGACCAUGAGGGCCAAGGUAUCCUCCAUCCAUCUCCGCGCCUACUCCUCGCGCCUACCAUCUCGUCGAUUAGAUCCGUGUGUGGCGUAGCAACUCGUUGCCACGAGUAGUUCUCAACUCGGUUCGUCCAUGUCCCGGGGCUGUGAUUACAAAGAGAGAGGCUCGAGUGGCGCAAUUCUGGGGUGGAAUCUCUUAUGGGACGGCGGAUCUCGCCGUGCGCUCGUGGACGCCCCCCUCGUCGCGGCGGCCGGGUCUGGAUCGGUAGCUUGGGACGCGAGGUGCCGCUCUGCGCGAGGCUGAUCCUUAGACCAGUCUCAAUGCAUAGGGCCUUGUUUAGAUGCACAUGUUUCGAGCCGAGCUGUGACAAAUCGUGUCGCGCAGAGCUUGGUAUCUCUGUGUCCCGUGCAUCGUUUCCGCAUGGUCCAGCCGCUGCGGUCUCGGAGGCGUCGCGUGCUUGUGGCGCCGCCGUCUUCUAGGGUUCUUCCCUGGCCACGGUGAAGGUUUCUUAAUCGCAUACACUUGAUAUGAGCCCCGUGGAUGAUGGCCUUAAGCCUCUGCUUGUGAAAUGUUGUUAGGAGAUUGAAUUGCAUUUCUAGCAGCAUCUGAUGGUGACUGUAGUCCUUGCUCUAAAUUUUUAAAGAUUUAGAUGCUUUGUUACUUAUGAUUUGUUUGCACUGGAAUCUGCCUGGCACCGUAAAUAAGCAAUUGCACGUUGAUGCUUAUCAGUGUUUGUCAUUACUAAUGCUUAUCAGUGCAAUUGUACUGGAAUCUGCCUGGAGAGAUUUUUGUUCCGUGUUUACCUUUAAUCUGUGGAAUUGUCUACUUCCUCCACUUAACCUGCAGCACAAAAAGGUAGUAUGUUGCCAGGCACUUAAGAUAAGAAUUCUGUUUUGUAGUUAAUUGAAAAUUGUGUGAUGGACAGGAUAAGGAUAGCCCCGUUCUUUUGCAUAGUUGUUAGAUGUAUUCCUUACAGUAUGUCUUUAAUUGUCUUGUACUCCCUCAUUUCAAAACAUAAGCUGUUUUGGCUUCUCUAGGUACAUUGCUUUUGCUAUGUAUUUAGAUAUACACUAUAUCCAAGGGUAUAGUAAAAGCCAUGAAUCUAGAAAGCCAUAAAGUCUUAUAAGUUGGAAUGGAUGGAGUAUACAAGAAUGGUCCUGUUCUUCUUCAUUUUAGUUAGUUGCAUUCUUGUCUAUGCUGUGCUAUUAUUUUUCCUCUUAUCUAAUGCUCACUCAACUAAUGCAUUCUUAUCUGUCAAUCUUCAGUGGAAGAAGAAGCGCAUGAGGAGGCUGAAGAGGAAGCGCCGAAAGAUGAGGCAGAGAUCUAAGUAAGCUGGUGGAGAUGGAUGGUGGACGUGAUGGCAUGCUUGAGUACAUACAUUUCUUCGGAUGCGUUUGCUCAUGGAGAGGCGUGAACCUGGUGUGCAGUCACAGUUUGCCAUCUGUCAAUUGGCUUGUCUCGGAAACCUGCACUUCAGUAGGCUAUCGUGGUUCUAGUUAUAUCCAGAGUUUUGCACUAAGACAACUCGGUCUGUUUUGUGAACCUAUUAUGAUGGAGCUUUAUUUGCUGCUAAUAUCGACCUACCUAUCUACCUACCUGUUAAGUAAUUCCUGUGUUUGUUUAUGCUGUGCUUGCCUGAUCUUUCAUUGUGUUAUUGUGGUAUCUGCUCGUUGGUGCUGGUUUAUCUGGCCUGUUUCUGUAAAUCAUCAGAGAAACAGCGUCCUGCUGUGUUGAAGAGCACACCGAUCGCUAUGCUUCACAUUGAAGCUGAUGCUCAACAUUGACUCAUAGUCUCAUACAAGCAUUGAAGCUAUUGUUCAUUCUAUGACCGACAGUUUCUCUAUAAUGGUGCAUAUGAACAUUGAAGCAGACAACAUAUUUUGCAGCUCGAACCUCUGUUGCCAAGCUGAUGCUCUACAUCGAUUUUAAUUGCAGUAACGGUUUGCUGCUGUGGCACGUCUGCGUAUCUCUGACGUUAAACGUACCGCGAGGUUGUUUUGGUCUGCGAUCCAGUGUUACCGCGAGAUGGUUUUGUUUUAUCAUCAAUUUUUUUUCUUUGUGUGUGCAAUGCCUCGGUUCGCUGUAGGCCUGAAGCUAAAAACCAAAGUCCCAUUCUGACUCUGAUACUCGUUCUGAAUUUUUUAUUUUUUAUUUUUUAAAAAUAUUUUAAAAAUCACUUAUAAAAGGAAAUGGUUUUCGUUUUUAUUUUUUAAAAGUCCCAUUGUGUUGUUUAAACAUUUGCUAGUUUUUUUUUGAGGGGAUUAAACAUCGUCUUAUCAUCUAGUUGGACUGGCCAACCAAAGGAAAUGCACAAUCUACGGUCCAUUUCAAAACCGCGAGCGUGGACUAAUCAAGCCCACGAUAGGACCUUUCGUUUAGGCCCAAGUCCAACCGAAGGCUCACUAACCAAAUGCAAUGCCCUAUUCGGCCCAAUUAAGGCCCAACGCCGUCUCGCUCAUGUCUCUCUCC
This 2541-nucleotide long non-coding RNA is filed under the name Sorghum bicolor (sorghum). RNAcentral describes it as "long non-coding RNA (SBIC_LNC011580)". The record is from RNAcentral. Lineage: Eukaryota; Viridiplantae; Streptophyta; Magnoliopsida; Poales; Poaceae.